UGUGUCGGUGACGAUAACUUGGCUCCCUCUACUGAGACUCAGUGAGGAUAAACGCCACAUGUUACCCAAAUCUUACUGAGAUGCA
Small nucleolar RNA from Alosa alosa (allis shad), 85 nucleotides. RefSeq annotates it as small nucleolar RNA SNORD100. The record is from RefSeq and is a predicted model, not a curated record. NCBI's taxonomy places the organism in Eukaryota, Metazoa, Chordata, Actinopteri, Clupeiformes, Clupeidae. The transcript has a single exon.